RNAcentral lists this ribosomal RNA (301 nucleotides) under Bacillus sp. NS2.2. RNAcentral's name for it is "bacterial SSU rRNA". It matches the Rfam family "Bacterial small subunit ribosomal RNA", at positions 70 to 357 of the family's 1533-position model. The record is from RNAcentral. Lineage: Bacteria; Bacillati; Bacillota; Bacilli; Caryophanales; Bacillaceae.
CGACGGGAGCUGCUCCCUUAGGUCAGCGGCGGACGGGUGAGUAACACGUGGGUAACCUGCCUGGUAAGACUGGGAUAACUCCGGGAAACCGGGGCUAAUACCGGAUGCUUGAUUGAACCGCAUGGUUCAAUCAUAAAAGGUGGCUUUUAGCUACCACUUACAGAUGGACCCGCGGCGCAUUAGCUAGUUGGUGAGGUAACGGCUCACCAAGGCGACGAUGCGUAGCCGACCUGAGAGGGUGAUCGGCCACACUGGGACUGAGACACGGCCCAGACUCCUACGGGAGGCAGCAGUGGUCUGC